Molecule: ribosomal RNA, 497 nt
Filed under: uncultured bacterium
Lineage: Bacteria
Description: partial 16S ribosomal RNA
Rfam family: Bacterial small subunit ribosomal RNA
Source: RNAcentral
GACGAACGCUGGCGGCGUGCUUAACACAUGCAAGUCGAACGGUGAAGCGCCUUCCUUUUUGGUGGGUGUGGAUGAGUGGCGAACGGGUGAGUAACACGUGAGUAACCUGCCCCGUCUUGCUGGAUAACCGCAUGAAAGUGUGGCUAAUACGGGAUAUUCUGGGUCUGUCGCAUGAUGGGUCGGGGAAGGAUAUUGUUUCGGUGGGGGAUGGGCUCGCGGCGUAUCAGCUUGUUGGUGGGGUGAUGGCCUACCAAGGCGGCGAUGGGUAGCCGGCCUGAGAGGGUGGUGGGCCACCCUACAGGUGAGACACCGCCGCGACGCCUACGAGGGGCAGCAGCAGGGAGUCUUCUUGAAUGAGGGACGGAAUGAUGGUGCAGCGCCGCGGCAUGAAGGAUGGUGUUCUUCUCGUUGUGCUCCGCUUUCGGGAGUGAAGAAAUGCUUCCUCAUCUGUGGGCGGGUUGACGGUACCUGGACAAGAAGCGACGGCUAACUACGUG